GACUCGUCACACUAUCAUUAACUGAAUCCAUAGGUUAAUGAGGCGAACCGGGGGAACUGAAACAUCUAAGUACCCCGAGGAAAAGAAAUCAACCGAGAUUCCCCCAGUAGCGGCGAGCGAACGGGGAGGAGCCCAGAGCCUGAAUCAGCAUGUGUGUUAGUGGAAGCGUCUGGAAAGGCGCGCGAUACAGGGUGACAGCCCCGUACACAAAAGCGCAUGUGCUGUGAGCUCGAUGAGUAGGGCGGGACACGUGGUAUCCUGUCUGAAUAUGGGGGGACCAUCCUCCAAGGCUAAAUACUCCUGACUGACCGAUAGUGAACCAGUACCGUGAGGGAAAGGCGAAAAGAACCCCGGCGAGGGGAGUGAAAAAGAACCUGAAACCGUGUACGUACAAGCAGUGGGAGCACCCUUUGGGGUGUGACUGCGUACCUUUUGUAUAAUGGGUCAGCGACUUAUAUUCUGUAGCAAGGUUAACCGUAUAGGGGAGCCGGAGGGAAACCGAGUCUUAACCGGGCGUUAAGUUGCAGGGUAUAGACCCGAAACCCGGUGAUCUAGCCAUGGGCAGGUUGAAGGUUGGGUAACACUAACUGGAGGACCGAACCGACUAAUGUUGAAAAAUUAGCGGAUGACCUGUGGCUGGGGGUGAAAGGCCAAUCAAACCGGGAGAUAGCUGGUUCUCCCCGAAAGCUAUUUAGGUAGCGCCUCGUGAAUUCAUCUCCGGGGGUAGAGCACUGUUUCGGCUAGGGGGCCAUCCCGGCUUACCAACCCGAUGCAAACUGCGAAUACCGGAGAAUGUUAUCACGGGAGACACACGGCGGGUGCUAACGUCCGUCGUGAAGAGGGAAACAACCCAGACCGCCAGCUAAGGUCCCAAAGUCAUGGUUAAGUGGGAAACGAUGUGGGAAGGCCCAGACAGCCAGGAUGUUGGCUUAGAAGCAGCCAUCAUUUAAAGAAAGCGUAAUAGCUCACUGGUCGAGUCGGCCUGCGCGGAAGAUGUAACGGGGCUAAACCAUGCACCGAAGCUGCGGCAGCGACGCUGAUGCGUUGUUGGGUAGGGGAGCGUUCUGUAAGCCUGCGAAGGUGGCCUGUGAGGGUUGCUGGAGGUAUCAGAAGUGCGAAUGCUGACAUAAGUAACGAUAAAGCGGGUGAAAAGCCCGCUCGCCGGAAGACCAAGGGUUCCUGUCCAACGUUAAUCGGGGCAGGGUGAGUCGACCCCUAAGGCGAGGCCGAAAGGCGUAGUCGAUGGGAAACGGGUUAAUAUUCCCGUACUUGGUGUUACUGCGAAGGGGGGACGGAGAAGGCUAUGUUGGCCGGGCGACGGUUGUCCCGGUUUAAGCGUGUAGGUGUGUGUUCCAGGUAAAUCCGGUUCACUUUAACACUGAGGCGUGAUGACGAGGCACUACGGUGCUGAAGCAACAAAUGCCCUGCUUCCAGGAAAAGCCUCUAAGCAUCAGGUAACAUCAAAUCGUACCCCAAACCGACACAGGUGGUCAGGUAGAGAAUACCAAGGCGCUUGAGAGAACUCGGGUGAAGGAACUAGGCAAAAUGGUGCCGUAACUUCGGGAGAAGGCACGCUGACA
Molecule: ribosomal RNA, 1580 nt
Filed under: Salmonella enterica
Lineage: Bacteria; Pseudomonadati; Pseudomonadota; Gammaproteobacteria; Enterobacterales; Enterobacteriaceae
Also listed under: 1 other name
Description: partial 23S ribosomal RNA
Rfam family: Bacterial large subunit ribosomal RNA
Source: RNAcentral